AUUGAACGCUGGCGGCAGGCCUAACACAUGCAAGUCGAGCGGAUGAAGCGAGCUUGCUCCUGGUUUCAGCGGCGGACGGGUGUGUAAUGCCUAGGAAUCUGCCUGGGAUUUGGGGAUAACGUCCGGAAACGGGCGCUAAUACCGCAUACGUCCUUAGGGAGAAAGUGUGGGAUCUUCGGACCUUACGCUAUCGGAUGAGCCUAGGUCGGAUUAGCUAGUUGGUGGGGUAAAGGCCUACCAAGGCGACGAUCCGUAACUGGUCUGAGAGGAUGACCAGUCACACUGGAACUGAGCCACGGUCAAGACUACUACGGGAGGCAGCAGUGGGGAAUAUUGGACAAUGGGCGAAAGCCUGAUCCAGCCAGGCCGCGUGUGUGAAGAAGGUCUUCGGAUUGUAAAGAACUUUAAGUUGGGAGGAAGGGCAGUAAGUUAAUACCUUGCUGUUUUGACGUUACCAACAGAAUAAGCACCGGCUAACUUCGUG
Molecule: ribosomal RNA, 484 nt
Filed under: uncultured bacterium
Lineage: Bacteria
Description: partial 16S ribosomal RNA
Rfam family: Bacterial small subunit ribosomal RNA
Source: RNAcentral